UUGACUGAUCAGGACUCCUCAGUUCACCUUCUCACAAUGAGGCUCCCUGCUCAGCUCCUGGGGCUGCUAAUGCUCUGGGUCUCUGGAUCCAGUGGGGAUAUUGUGAUGACUCAGUCUCCACUCUCCCUGCCCGUCACCCCUGGAGAGCCGGCCUCCAUCUCCUGCAGGUUCAGUGGCAGUGGAUCAGGCACAGAUUUUACACUGAAAAUCAGCAGAGUGGAGGCUGAGGAUGUUGGGGUUUAUUACUGCAUGCAAGCUCUACAAACUCCU
RNAcentral lists this long non-coding RNA (270 nucleotides) under Homo sapiens (human). RNAcentral describes it as "HSALNT0035549". The record is from RNAcentral. Lineage: Eukaryota; Metazoa; Chordata; Mammalia; Primates; Hominidae.